AAUUGGGAAUCCCCGGAACCUUUACGUCGACAGCACUCGUCCCCGUGGGGACGGGGCGGGUAGUAAAGGUCGGACCCAGACCAUAAGUCACCGACGGCGUGGUGGAUUGAAUCCUUACACCUACAACUAUUGAGCAAGACGUAGCACCAUUCUACUGAUUGUUUAAAGCUCGGGCAGACGGGCGCUGUAUUCAAGUAGUCCUACACGGUGUGACGGGGAUCAGGCCUGGGCUGGUGGGGGCUCAGGAUCACUUCUAACAAUGGAGAUUACCUGACAGCACGUCCCCGCACAGAUUGUGCUGUGGACUACUGAAGAACGUGAUUAGGCAAAUGUUUAAAUUGACGGCAUGAUAAACUUAGAAGAAAGAAGAAUGACGUUACGAAUGAAAGAGAAAGUAUAUGUUAAGAUGAAAAUCCAGUUUUUAAAGACGAUUUUCCACGUGGAAUACAAACUACUGGUGCCCAAGCAGUGGUAUUUUGCAGAAGUUGGAAGAGUCAUGAAGGUAAAUAUUACGGAGUUAACUUAAGCUCAAAACUGUCUAAUAGUGAACAUACAUGUUUUAAGACCAAAA
This is a long non-coding RNA of Physella acuta, 571 nucleotides long. RefSeq lists it as uncharacterized. The record is from RefSeq and is a predicted model, not a curated record. NCBI's taxonomy places the organism in Eukaryota, Metazoa, Mollusca, Gastropoda, Physidae.